This 297-nucleotide unclassified non-coding RNA is filed under the name fungal sp. Its description in RNAcentral is "partial contains 5.8S ribosomal RNA, internal transcribed spacer 2, and large subunit ribosomal RNA". The record is from RNAcentral. Lineage: Eukaryota; Fungi.
CGCACCUUGCGCUCCCGGGCCAUUCCUGAGAGCAUGCUUGUUUGAGUGUCGCUUACCCCUCUCAACCCCGUUUGUUUUUUGGAACAGAUGGCAGGGUUGGAUCGUGACGCGUUUGCUGGGGCCCCUCUGGGGGAACGAGCUGCGUUGAAAUGCAACAAGCUGAAUCUAACUCAGCGGCUUGACCUGUUGUCGUAACUUAAAAAACUCGACGGGGACGCUGAAAGUAGAACGAGCUUACCACAAACCCAUUUUUAACCAAAUGACCUCAAAUCAAGUAGGACUACCCGCUGAACUUAA